RNAcentral lists this ribosomal RNA (253 nucleotides) under uncultured bacterium. RNAcentral's name for it is "partial 16S ribosomal RNA". It matches the Rfam family "Bacterial small subunit ribosomal RNA", at positions 524 to 776 of the family's 1533-position model. The record is from RNAcentral.
UACGUAGGUGGCAAGCGUUGUCCGGAUUUAUUGGGUUUAAAGGGUGCGUAGGUGGCCCCGUAAGUCAGUGGUGAAAUAUCUCAGCUUAACUGAGAGGGUGCCAUUGAUACUGCGGGGCUUGAGUACAGAUGAGGUAGGCGGAAUUGACGGUGUAGCGGUGAAAUGCAUAGAUAUCGUCAAGAACACCGAUAGCGAAGGCAGCUUACCAAGCUGUAACUGACACUGAGGCACGAAAGUGUGGGGAUCAAACAGG